AGAACAGCAGUAUCAAGCUACACAUCAAAAGAUGAAGGCAUGAAGCAUGAGCUCAAUAUAAAUAUUACAUCUUAGCAAUCUAAAAUUCUAAAUAUCAGAUAUUACCAGAGCAAGUAGCAUUUUCAUCAUACCAAAAUGGGAAAAAGUUUGCAAAGUCAUUUGUCACAGUAUUCAAAUAUUGAAAACAGAAUUGAGAAGCUACAACCAUCAUAAUCAAGCUAUAGAAGAACCACAUAAAAUAGAUAAAUAUAGACUACAUGUUCAAUGAAUAAGAAGAAAUUGGUUUUCUUCCUAAUAUUGGAAGGGAAUAGUUAAAAUCAAAAAGAAUCAUCUACCGACAACAUCUCUAAGUCGCAACUAGAAUUUAGUUCAGUAGACUUUGGCAUGUUAAUUUAUCUCUUUCUAGUCAACUUACUCACAAGGAAAGAAAACCAUGUCAGAUCAAUGAAUGGGAUCUUUAAUCAGUACAAGUGCAAAGUAAAAUCAUAGGCAAAGAAGGAAACCACUGCCUAAAAAAAUUGUAU
This 524-nucleotide unclassified non-coding RNA is filed under the name Hevea brasiliensis (rubber tree). Lineage: Eukaryota; Viridiplantae; Streptophyta; Magnoliopsida; Malpighiales; Euphorbiaceae. The record is from RNAcentral.